RNAcentral lists this ribosomal RNA (862 nucleotides) under uncultured Bacillota bacterium. RNAcentral describes it as "bacterial SSU rRNA". It matches the Rfam family "Bacterial small subunit ribosomal RNA", at positions 58 to 934 of the family's 1533-position model. Lineage: Bacteria; Bacillati; Bacillota. The record is from RNAcentral.
CAAGUCGAACGAUUAAAGCUCUCUUCGGAGAGUGCAUAGAGUGGCGCACGGGUGAGUAACACGUAAAUAAUCUACCCUCGAGUGGGGAAUAACGUCCGGAAACGGACGCUAAUACCGCAUAAUGCAGCGGCACCGCAAGGUGACAGUUGUUAAAGAUUUAUUGCUUGAGGAGGAGUUUGCGGCAGAUUAGCUAGUUGGUAAGGUAAUGGCUUACCAAGGCUACGAUCUGUAUCCGGUCUAAGAGGACGGUCGGACACACUGACACUGAAUAACGGGUCAGACUCCUACGGGAGGCAGCAGUCGGGAAUUUUGGGCAAUGGGGGAAACCCUGACCCAGCAACGCCGCGUGAAGGAUGAAGUUUUUCGGAAUGUAAACUUCGAAAGAAUAGGAAAAAUUAAUGACGGUACUAUUUAUAAGGUCCGGCUAACUACGUGCCAGCAGCCGCGGUAAUACGUAGGGACCAAGCGUUGUUCGGAUUUACUGGGCGUAAAGGGCGCGUAGGCGGCGUGGUAAGUCAGUUGUGAAAUCUCCGAGCUUAACUCGGAACGGCCAACUGAUACUGCUGUGCUAGAGUGCAGAAGGGGCAAUCAGAAUUCUUGGUGUAGCGGUGAAAUGCGUAGAUCUCAAGAGGAAUACCAGAGGUGAAGACGGGUUGCUAGGCUGACACUGACGCUGAGGCGCGAAAGCCAGGGGAGCAAACGGGAUUAGAUACCCCGGUAGUCCUGGCCCUAAACGAUGAAUACUUGGUGUCUGGAGUUUUUUCGCUCCGGGUGCCGUCGCUAACGUUUUAAGUAUUCCGCCUGGGGAGUACGGUCGCAAGACUGAACUCAAAGGAAUUGACGGGGACCCGCACAAGCGGUG